CUUAGAGGCUGGCUUCUCUGUGCACAUACCCGGUUUUGGCUGAUCUUAGAAGCGAAGCAGGUCGGUCCUCUUCAGCAGUUGAAUGGAAGGCCACCUGAGAAUAACAGGUGCUACUGAGA
RNAcentral lists this ribosomal RNA (119 nucleotides) under Microtus ochrogaster (prairie vole). Lineage: Eukaryota; Metazoa; Chordata; Mammalia; Rodentia; Cricetidae. The record is from RNAcentral.